GACAGAGGGUGCAAACGUUGUUCGGAAUUACUGGGCGUAAAGCGCGUGUAGGCGGUCGUGCAAGUCGGGUGUGAAAGCCCGGGGCUCAACCCCGGAAGUGCAUUCGAUACUGCAUGGCUAGAGUACCGGAGAGGGUGGUGGAACUCUCGGUGUAGAGGUGAAAUUCGUAGAUAUCGAGAAGAACACCGGUGGCGAAGGCGGCCACCUGGACGGAUACUGACGCUGAGGCACGAAAGUGUGGGGAUCAAACAGG
Molecule: ribosomal RNA, 253 nt
Filed under: uncultured bacterium
Lineage: Bacteria
Description: partial 16S ribosomal RNA
Rfam family: Bacterial small subunit ribosomal RNA
Source: RNAcentral